GAGACAGCAGCCGCCGCGGUAAUACGUAGGUGGCAAGCGUUGUCCGGAAUUAUUGGGCGUAAAGGGCUCGCAGGCGGUUUCUUAAGUCUGAUGUGAAAGCCCCCGGCUCAACCGGGGAGGGUCAUUGGAAACUGGGAAACUUGAGUGCAGAAGAGGAGAGUGGAAUUCCACGUGUGGCGGUGAAAUGCGUAGAGAUGUGGAGGAACACCAGUGGCGAAGGCGACUCUCUGGUCUGUAACUGACGCUGAGGAGCGAAAGCGUGGGGAGCGAACAGGAUUAGAUACCCCUGUAGUCCCUGUCUCUUAUAC
Molecule: ribosomal RNA, 308 nt
Filed under: uncultured bacterium
Lineage: Bacteria
Description: partial 16S ribosomal RNA
Rfam family: Bacterial small subunit ribosomal RNA
Source: RNAcentral